Molecule: long non-coding RNA, 3337 nt
Organism: Amblyraja radiata (thorny skate)
Lineage: Eukaryota; Metazoa; Chordata; Chondrichthyes; Rajiformes; Rajidae
Exons: 3
Source: RefSeq, a predicted model, not a curated record
AAUGCACUGUAUCACUGUGCUAUUGCACUGAUAGACACAAGCAACUGAAGUUGCUGUAAUCCCGAGGAACAAAAAUAUUUCUGGAGGUACAUAAUAAAGAACUGCAGAUGCUUGUUUAUACCAAAAUAUCUUGCAAAGAUACUAUCCCCUACUCUCAAUUCCUUUGUCUCCACCGCAUCUGUUCCCAAGAUGAGGUUUUUCAUGCAAGGUCUUCUGAGAUGUCCUUAUUCUUUCGUGAACUUGGUUCUCCUCUCUUCUCCUUCUCUCGCACGUGUCUCUUCUGCAUCCCAUAGUUCUCAUCUCACUACCUCUCCCCCCAGGCGCAACAAAGGCAGUUCCCUGAUCCUGACCUUUCACCCCCACAUCCAACAUUUCAAUCACCUCCAAUGUGAUCCCACCACUAAUCACAUCUUGCCAUCUAUACCCCUUUCCACCUUCCGCAGAGACUAUUCUUUCUGCAACUCCGUGGUUCACUCUCAACCCCUUGGUUGGCAAGGAAUGUGAAGAUGUUAUAUCACCAUUUUUUUGGUUGCAGUCAUUACAGGGUUGGCACAAUGCAUCUAUGGUGACCUGCUGAUGAAAGCAUUGAAUUUUAAGCCUUGUAUGUUGCUGCUUUGUCCUGGAUGGUACUGAGCCUCUUGAGUAUUAUUGGACGUGCAUUGAUCUAUCCAAAUAUAAAGUAUACAUCAUACUCUUGAUUUGCGCUUUAUAGACAAUAGGAAUCAUUUGAGAUGUAAGCUAUAUAUGAUAAUUUUCACAUAAUACUCUUUGAUCACUUCUGGCCAUAGUAUUUUUGUGCCAAAUCUAGCUAAGCUUCUGUUUAAUGGUGAUAAAGCAGGUUUUAGUGACAAUACAAUUAAAUGUCACACAGUGAUGGGUAGAAUUCUCUUGUUGGAGAUGUUCAUUGGUGGGUAUCUUUGGAGCAUUAAUAUAUUAUUUAAUAAUAUGAAGCUUUUUUUUAACAUAGAAAGUGGUUGAUAUCUGGAAUUCCUUGUCAGAGGAGGAGAUGAAGUUGCAUACAAUUACAAUCAAUAAGAGACAGGUACUGGUACUUAAAUAAGGGCAUAGGAUUAGGAUACAGACUAAAUGUGGGCAAAUAGGAUUAGGGAAGAUAGGCAAAAAGUUACCUUGGACCUGGUAGGCUGAAGGGCCCACUUCUGUGCUGAACAACCCUAUAAUCUAUGAGACUUAACAAGUAAAACAAGUUUUUUUGUGUGUUACCUCUGAGUUUGUUAAUAUUUUUUUAUUGUGUGCCCUGUCAUUAUAGGCUCAUCACCUGUUGGAAAUAAUUUCUCUCUUUAAUUUGUUUAUGAUUUUUAACAGUAUAAAAUUUUCUCAUUACCAUGUAAUUUCAAACGUGCCUAGAAUUUUAAUCGGACUGUGUAAUGAUGAGACAUUUUAUUGCAUUUACAAAAUUUAUUUUGUACCUCCGCCAAAGCAUUUGUAUCCUUUGUAAUAUUUGUGCCUGCAGAAAUAGCUGAAUUAUUACUCCGACAUCCUUAACUCCAUACAGUUUUAACUCAAUUUCCUGUUUUUCCUUCGCGUGGCUUUGUUAUAAAACUAGGACUCCUAUAUGUUUCAUUAACUGCAAUGUUAACCUGACCCCAUCAAAGAUUUGGACACACGCCUCAGUUUCCUCGAUCAUUAAACAAAAUGAAAAAUUGCGUGAAAAAAUUCUGAGGUUUGGCAGCAUCUAUGGAGAGAGAAUCAGUUAAUAUUUUGGGUGGAUCACCUUCCAUCAUUGCUGGCGAAAGUUGUAAAUAAACAGAUUUGAAGAUGCCAAAGAGUAGGAAAGAACAACAAGGAUGAUCUGUGAGACUGGAAGGCCGGGAAAACUAUUUAAAAAAAUAGAGAUAGUGCAUUGCUUUUAAUGGGAUAAUAAGGAAACAACAUGCCACCCUUGUCAUUGUGGAAAGCAAAGUCGUCAUUUAAAAUGUAUUUGCAGCAUUUUGCUUUGGAGAAAUUUAACAAUGACAUGUGGUAACAAAAUAAACCCUGAAAUCUUAUGUCAUUAAAAGCAUAAAACAGUGGCCUUGUUCAUAAGCCCCUAAACUAUCUCUAAUCUGAACAAAGUCUUAAGGCUGAUUUUUGUUGUUCUGUUUUUAAUCAUCUACUCAAAUCUAUUCUUUCUGCUUCCCUAUCACACAUCUUCUAGAAAAAUACUCUCUACUCUUCCAACUCUUUCUCUCCUCAUGCACCCCCAUCUCUUGUUUUGUUCCUCUCCGCCAACAACCCUUAUCGCCAGCUUUCUAUUUCCAUGAGUUUGUUUUCUCACUUCUGAAUCGCCACACCACAUUUUAUCCUAAUCUCCCUUGAUCACUGACAAUGACAUCCACACUUGUUGGUUAAGCUAGUGUGAAGAAGGGUCUCGACCUGAAACAUCACCCAUUCCUUCUCUCCAGAGAUGCUGCCUGUCCAGCUGAGCUACUCCAGCUUUUUGUGUCUAAGCUAUUAUACCUACUCUCUUGUGCUUUGCUGACCUUCAUUUUCAGAUUAUUAUCAGGUUAAGUGUGCUAAUACAUUCAGAGUUACUGCCAGCAGAUAAGAAAGUUGACUAGUUGAGAGCAAUUGUGAUGCGUUACAUUGGGGAAUAAGAUUCAAUUUAGUCACAUUUAAUAAACAGUUACCAAAUUGGGUAGUGAGGCCUAACCCUUUAAAAGAGACUAUCGGAGAGAAACCACUGGACGAAUUGAAUUUUGUUAUCGUUUUACUAUUAUUUCCCCCAAGGCAAAUAUUAGAUGGCAAUCUGCAAUACAGAAACCUGAAACAGUUUGUAUGCAUUUACCAAUCAUCAUUAUUGUCUGGAUCUGACAGCCAAGGAUUAUAAGCCUUUUGGGUAUUUAAUUUAUUGCAGUUCUGAAGUUGCAGUUCUUCAGAAACCCAUCGGCAGUUUAUUUUCAUUAUUUUAAUGUUUUGUUUGUAAGAAAAAGUCGAAUGAAUCGAAACGAUUUUUGAUUGUCUGCCAAAUUAGAAUUGUCUUUCUUUUCACAUUCAGAGUAGCUUUUCCACUUGAUUUUCUUUCUGACCAUGCACACUUUGGGGUGUUAUACUGUUAAUCUAUUCAUGCUUCAAUGCUCUUGCUGCCUCUUCUCAACCCAGAAAAUUGGCCUGGUAUAUAGCAGAUUUUGGGAAGAUCGACAAGCCACUUAGGAAACAGUUUUUCUUACAGGAGUAUCUCAGUUGAUUUUCCACAGGAUUAUGGUAAUACCCUAUUAUUUGUCAACGUUAAAUUUCUUUCAAUGAAUGCAGGUGAAGUAGUGCAGAAUUUAGCCUUUCAAAAAUAAUGAAGUAUUCUGAGCAAAAAGACGUCUUUUGAAUAAAAUAUUAAAAUAGGUGC